UCCCCUCCUCUUUGGUGCUAACCCAAUCCCUUGAUGCCUCAUGCGACCUAGUUCUCUGACAAUCUUGGCAUCCUUGCCUUCCUUCCAUGCCUUAAACCUCUUCCCUAGCCCUCCUUCUAUCAUCUUUCAAGCCCCCUUCCUCUGGCCGCUAUCCAAUGAGAUUAACCAUGCCCUUACUCUUGCUGCUACUCACCACGUAUUGGGUAGCCAAGCUAAGGGGGAG
This 223-nucleotide long non-coding RNA is filed under the name Elaeis guineensis (African oil palm). RNAcentral's name for it is "long non-coding RNA (EGUI_LNC029665)". Lineage: Eukaryota; Viridiplantae; Streptophyta; Magnoliopsida; Arecales; Arecaceae. The record is from RNAcentral.